RNAcentral lists this ribosomal RNA (396 nucleotides) under Theileria annulata. Its description in RNAcentral is "SSU rRNA". It matches the Rfam family "Eukaryotic small subunit ribosomal RNA", at positions 488 to 924 of the family's 1831-position model. Lineage: Eukaryota; Apicomplexa; Aconoidasida; Piroplasmida; Theileriidae. The record is from RNAcentral.
GGGCUUAAAGUCUUGUAAUUGGAAUGAUGGGAAUUUAAACCUCUUCCAGAGUAUCAAUUGGAGGGCAAGUCUGGUGCCAGCAGCCGCGGUAAUUCCAGCUCCAAUAGCGUAUAUUAAAAUUGUUGCAGUUAAAAAGCUCGUAGUUGAAUUUCUGCUGCAUUGCUUGUGUCCCUCUGGGGUCUGUGCAUGUGGCUUUUUUCGGACGGAGUUUCUUUGUCUGAAUGUUUACUUUGAGAAAAUUAGAGUGCUCAAAGCAGGCUUUCGCCUUGAAUAGUUUAGCAUGGAAUAAUAAAGUAGGACUUUGGUUCUAUUUUGUUGGUUUUAGGUACCAAAGUAAUGGUUAAUAGGAACAGUUGGGGGCAUUCGUAUUUAACUGUCAGAGGUGAAAUUCUUAGA